GCCCAGUUGACGAGUUCUAAGUAGGACGAAAUGCGCAUCCUGGAU
RNAcentral lists this non-coding RNA (45 nucleotides) under Trichobilharzia regenti. The record is from RNAcentral. Lineage: Eukaryota; Metazoa; Platyhelminthes; Trematoda; Strigeidida; Schistosomatidae.